This 402-nucleotide ribosomal RNA is filed under the name Triticum aestivum (bread wheat). Its description in RNAcentral is "partial small subunit ribosomal RNA". Lineage: Eukaryota; Viridiplantae; Streptophyta; Magnoliopsida; Poales; Poaceae. The record is from RNAcentral.
AUGGCCCCUCAAACAGCCACGCCGCAACACCUGCUGACCCCUGCGCAGCACACCCACCCCUGCGCUCGGCCACCGUGGCGGCGGCGGCCCGGCUCCAGCGCGCCGGCGGCCGCAGUGGAGCACACGGAGGCGGUCGUCGGGGCAGGCGGUGCGAGGUGGGAGCCGAUGGGCGCGCGGGAGUACUACGACUACCGGCGGGGCAUCUACGACGACAUCACGCACAAGGCCAUCCUCGUCGACGCCCCAAGCACCAUCCUCGCCCCCACCGAGUCCAUGGCCCAGGUGUACAGAACAAUAGGCGAAAAGUAUGGGGUGAAGUACUCGGAGGAUGAGAUCUUGAUGAGGACCUCGAGGCCUCGGAGAGCCCCUCCGAACAAGACGCGCACGGGAGCUCUGCCUUGA